Molecule: ribosomal RNA, 492 nt
Filed under: uncultured bacterium
Lineage: Bacteria
Description: partial 16S ribosomal RNA
Rfam family: Bacterial small subunit ribosomal RNA
Source: RNAcentral
AGUGAACGCUGGCGGUAGGCCUAACACAUCAAAGCCGAACGCCACCACAUUAAAACCUUCCUCUUCCGGUGGGCGAGGGGCGAACGGGGGGGAAAUCAACCGAAAUCUCCUUUUUCUGGGGGAUUAACUUAGGAAAACUUACCCUAUACCGCAUUACUCCUUACGGUGGAAAGCAGGGGACCUUCGACCCUUCCCCGAUUGAAUGAUCCGAUGUCGGAUUAGCUAGUUGGCGGGGUAAAGGCCCACCAAGGCGACGAUCCGUAGCUGGUCUGAGAGGAUGAUCAGCCACACUGGAACUGAGACACGGUCCAGACUCCUACGGGAGGCAGCAGUGGGGAAUAUUGGACAAUGGGCGCAAGCCUGAUCCAGCCAUACCGCGUGGGUGAAGAAGGCCUUCGGGUUGUAAAGCCCUUUUGUUGGGAAAGAAAAGCAGCAGGUUAAUACCCCGCUGUUCUGACGGUACCCAAAGAAUAAGCACCGGCUAACUUCGUG